CCCGCCCGUCACAUCACGAAAGUGGAUUGUACUAGAAGUCUGCUGGCUGACCCGAAAGGGAGGCGGCGGCCCAAGGUAUGAUUCAUGAUUGGGGUG
RNAcentral lists this ribosomal RNA (96 nucleotides) under uncultured bacterium. RNAcentral's name for it is "partial 16S ribosomal RNA". The record is from RNAcentral.